This is a non-coding RNA of Acanthosepion pharaonis, 84 nucleotides long. NCBI's taxonomy places the organism in Eukaryota, Metazoa, Mollusca, Cephalopoda, Sepiida, Sepiidae. The record is from the annotation of a GenBank genome assembly.
UAUGGCACAGGUUCCCAUAUGAUCACAAAAGUUAAGCAAUAUUGAGCCUAGUCAGUACCUAGAUGGGUGACCACUUCAGAAUAC